Megalobrama amblycephala (Wuchang bream) is the source of this 394-nucleotide long non-coding RNA. RefSeq lists it as uncharacterized. NCBI's taxonomy places the organism in Eukaryota, Metazoa, Chordata, Actinopteri, Cypriniformes, Xenocyprididae. The record is from RefSeq and is a predicted model, not a curated record. The transcript has 2 exons.
GAAUUUAUUCUUAUUUGCAGUAAAACUCACUAAUCAUUUAUUCAAAUCAAGUAAGUUAUUCUAAACAAUUGUAGUUUUUAUUUUUGAAAAAGGAAGGUGCCUAAUAUGAUUUCAGCAUAUCAGCACACAGGUGGGUUAACUACUGAGGGAAAGAAAAAUCAUCACAUGGUUACUUCUUAUAUGUGUCUUACUGUGCGUUAAUCUUACACAGCUAUCCCUUCACUGCAGACAAGCUGAAAUGGGCUGAAUCCUUGAUUGCAGUCUUUAUGUUCCUGAAUCAUUUGGAGAGAAUUAAAGUGAUUGUUGGAACAGCGAUCUUCUCUGAAGAACUGAGCACAUUUGUGUUUAUGGACAUGCAUGCAUCCAGGGAAAAUCCUGAUGUCGUCAGUCAAGG